Molecule: long non-coding RNA, 3618 nt
Filed under: Marmota monax (woodchuck)
Lineage: Eukaryota; Metazoa; Chordata; Mammalia; Rodentia; Sciuridae
Source: RNAcentral
GUAUAGAAUAAAAUUUACUAUACUUGAUUUACUAUACUAUACUGGGGAAAAUAAUAAAAAGUAUUUUUUACUCCUCUAGCUCUGGUCAUAUCUAUCCUCUUUAGACUUAAAGAAAGAUAAAAAACAAAAAGAAAUCAUAACAAAGUAGAAUAGGGAUAUAGUUCUAUUUUUUUUUUUUCAGUACUGGAGAUUGAACCCAGGAGCACUCAGCCACUGAGCCACAUACCUAGCCCUUUUUUGUAUUUAAUUUAGAGACAGGGUCUCACUGAGCUGCUUAGCAUCUCACUAAAUUGCUGAAAUUGGCUUUGACUUGAGAUCCUCCUGCCUCAGCCUCCUGAGCUACUGGGAUUACAGGCCUGUACCACUAUAUCUGGUGAAUCUAGGUCUCUUAACAUCUUGCUUAUAAAUUGAGAAUUCUCUGAAUAUGAUCAUACUCUUUUUGCCACUAGAUUUAUAUGCACUUAUGUACUAAAAUAUACAAAUUUGAUAGAGAAAAAGAGGCUAUUGCAUUGACCCUGAGUUUAAUUCCAGUGGCCACCAUUUAUUCUAUGUCUUCUGAAAUGUAUCUCACUUCAUAACAACCAGGACAAGGAAGAUAUUACUGUUAACCUUUUCCUUGAAACUGAAGCUCAGAGAAGUUAGAUGAAUUUGCCUGAGAUUGCAUUCACACCCCACAUCCAUCUUAUUAAAAGGGCCAUGCUUCCAAUCUUUAAAAUGAGGAGAGGAAACACCAUGUGAAGACAGAGGCAGGUGUUGGUCUAAUGUUUCCACAAGUCAGGGAUACUAAAGGUUGCUGGCAAGUAUAGAAGUUAGGAAAGAAACAUACAACAGAUUCUCCCUUAGAAAUUUCAGAAGGAACUAACCCUUUGGACACCUGGAAUUUGGAUUUCUAGGUACCAGUACUGUGAGACAAUAAGUUUAUGUCCUUCUAAGUCACCUAGUCUGUGGUACUUUGUUAUAAUCCUAAAAAACUAAUAUUCCAUGCUUCUACUUUAGAGCAAUAAUGAGAUGGUAAGAGAUCCUAAAAGAUGAGGAUGCUAGUUAAUACAGAUACUUAUCCAUCUCAUGCCAUUUAUCCCCCCACGAACACACAUAUGUACUGAAUGGUUCCCAUGACACAUUUAAUGCUCAUAGCUACAAUACUGUGAGACACAUGCAUUCCCCCAUGUUCUAAUGGUUGUGUGCUUACCAAGUAGUUGGGAUUCAUGCUUUAUUCUUUAUACUGCAUAAGAUAGAUAUUAUUACCAAGAAUCAGUUGUGUUUAUUCCCAGUUGUUCUUGCUAUAAUAAUUUUGUAACUUGCUUAAUAAAAAACAGGGGUUCUAUGAGGCCAAUAUCACCCUGAUCCCAAAACCAGUCAAAGACACAUCAAAGAAAGAAAACUGCAGACCAAUAUCUCUAAUGAACAUAGAUGCAAAGAUUCUCAAUAAAAUUCUAGCAAAUCAAAUACAAAAACAUAUCAAAAAGAUUGUGCACCAUGAUCAAGUGGGAUUCAACUCAGGGAUGCAAGGUUGGUUCAACAUACGGAAAUCAAUAAAUGUAAUUCAUCACAUCAAUAGACUUAAAGAUAAGAAUCAUAUGAUCAUCUCAAUAGAUGCAGAAAAAUCAUUUGACAAAAUAUAGCACCCCUUUAUAUUCAAAACACUAGAAAAACUAGGGAUAAUAGGAACAUAUCUCAACAUCGUAAAGGCUAUCUAUGCUAAGCCUCAGGCCACCAUCAUUCUAAAUAGAGAAAAAUUGAAGGCAUUCCCUCUAAAACCUGGAACAAGACAGGGAUGCCCCCCCUAUCACCACUUCUAUUCAAUAUAGUUCUUGAAACACUGGCCAGAGGAAUUAGGCAGACAAAUGAAAUCAAAGUAAUAUAUAUAGGAAAAGAAGAACUUAAAUUAGCAAUAUUUGCUAAUGAUGAUAUGAUUCUACACCUAGAAGACCCAAAAACUCUCCCAGAAAACUUCUAGAACUAGUAAAUGAAUGCAGAAAAGUAAUAGGAUAUAAAAUCAACACCCAUAAAUUAAAGGCAUUUCUGUAUAUCAGUGACAAAGCUGCUGAGAGGGAAAUGAAAAAAACUACCCCAUUCACAAUAGCCCCUCCCCCCAAAAAAGAUACUCAGGAAUCAACUUAACAAAAGAGGUGAAAGAUCUAUAUAAUGAAAACUACAGAACCCUAAAUAGAGAAAUCCAAUAAGUCCUUAGAAGAUGGGAAUAUCUACCUUGUUCUUGGAUAGGCAGAAUUAAUAUUAUCAAAAUGACCAUACUACCAAAAGCAUUAUACAGAUUUAAUGCAAUUCCAAUCAAAAUCCCUAUGACAUUCCUCAUAGAAAUAGAAAAAGCAAUGAUGAAAUUCAUCUGGAAAAAUAAGAGACUCAGAAGAACUAAAGCAAUCCUAAGCAGGAAGAGUGAAGCAGGUGGCAUCACUGUACCAGACCUUAAACUAUACUACAGAGCAAUAGUAACAAAAACAGCAUAGUAUUGGCAACAAAACAGACUGGUAGACCAAUGGUAUAGAAUAGAGAACACAGAGUCUAACCCACAAAAUUACAAUUAUCUUAUAUUAGACAAAGGUGCCAAAAACAUGCACUGGAGAAAAGAUAGCCUCUUCAACAAAUGGUGCUGGGAAAACUGGAAAUCCAUAUACAACAAAAUAAAAUUAAACCCCUAUUUCUCACCAUGCACAAAACUUAAAAUGGAUCAAGGACCUAGGAAUUAGACCAGAGACUCUAUGUCUAAUAGAAGAAAAAGUAGGCCCUAAUCUUCAUCAUGUGGGAUUAGGCCCCAACUUCCUUAAUAAGACUCCUAUAGUGUAAGAAUUAAACCAAGAAUCAAUAAAUGGGAUGGAAUCAAACUAAAAAGUUUCUUCUCAGCAAAGAAACAAUCUGUGAGGUGAACAGAGAGCCCAAAUCCUGGGAGCAAAUUUUUUCCCCUCACACGUCAGAUAGAGCAGUAAUCUUUAGGAUAUAUAAAGAACUCAAAAACCAAAAAACAAAUAACCCAAUCAACAAAUGGGCCAAGGACCUGAACAGACACUUCUCAGAAGAGGAUAUGCAAUCAAUCAACAAAUAUAUGAAAAAAUGCUCAUCAUCUCUAGCAAUCAGAGAAAUGCAAAUCAAAACUACUCUAAGAUAUCAUUUCACUCCAGUCAGAACGGCAGCUAUUAUGAAGAUAAAGAACAAUAAAUGUUGGAGAGGAUGUGGGGAAAGGGUAUACUCAUACAUUUCUGGUGGGACUGAAAAUUGGUACAGCCAAUAUGGAAAGCAAUAUGGAGAUUUCCUUGGAAAUCUGGAAAUGGAACCACCAUUUGACCCAGCUAUCCCUCUCCCCGGACUAUACUCAAUGGACUUAAAAACAGUAUACUACAGGGACACAGCCACAUCAAUGUUUAUAGCAGCACAAUUCACAAUAGCUAAACUUUGGAGCCAACCUAGAUGCCCUUCAGUGUAUGAAUGGAUAAAAAAAAUGUGAUAUAUAUAUAUAUAUAUAUAUAUAUAGCAUUAAAAGAAUAAAUCAUAGAAGAUAAUGCUAAGUGAAGUUAGCCAAUCCCCCCAAAAAACAAAUGCUGAAUGUUUUCUCUGAUAUAAGGAGGCUGACUCAUAGUGGGGUAGGGAGGGGGAGCAUAGGAGGAU